UACGGAGGGAGCUAGCGUUGUUCGGAAUUACUGGGCGUAAAGCGCACGUAGGCGGCUUUUUAAGUUAGUGGUGAAAGCCUGGAGCUCAACUUCAGAAUUGCCUUUAAGACUGCAUCGCUUGAAUCCGGGAGAGGUGAGUGGAAUUCCGGGUGUAGAGGUGAAAUUCGUAGAUAUUCGGAAGAACACCAGUGGCGAAGGCGGCUCUCUGGACCGGUAUUGACGCUGAGGUGCGAAAGCGUGGGGAGCAAACAGG
This 253-nucleotide ribosomal RNA is filed under the name uncultured bacterium. Its description in RNAcentral is "partial 16S ribosomal RNA". It matches the Rfam family "Bacterial small subunit ribosomal RNA", at positions 524 to 776 of the family's 1533-position model. The record is from RNAcentral.